Molecule: ribosomal RNA, 254 nt
Filed under: uncultured prokaryote
Description: partial 16S ribosomal RNA
Rfam family: Bacterial small subunit ribosomal RNA
Source: RNAcentral
AAGACGAACCGUGCGAACGUUGUUCGGAAUCACUGGGCUUAAAGGGCGCGUAGGCGGCUUGCCAAGUCAGGGGUGAAAUCCUGCAGCUCAACUGUAGAAGUGCCUUUGAUACUGGCGAGCUCGAGGGAGGUAGGGGUGCGCGGAACUUCUGGUGGAGCGGUGAAAUGCGUUGAUAUCAGAAGGAACGCCGGUGGCGAAAGCGGCGCACUGGAUCUCUUCUGACGCUGAGGCGCGAAAGCUAGGGGAGCAAACGG